AAGUCGUAACAAGGUCUCCGUAGGUGAACCUGCGGAGGGAUCAUUAACAUAACAUAUACACAUAUAUAUACUAAUCAUAUAUAUUAUGAUGUCAUACUACUGUGAACAUACAAUCAACAAACCAACAACAACAGGGACUUGUAUACUACACAGAGUAGUUCACAUUCCCGACUUUUUAUUCUUUACCCCAUACUAUAUUAUAUAUAAUCUAAUAAUAUAUUGUUACAUAACAAUAUAUAUUUUAUAACCCUCUAUCACUCCUAGCAACGGAUAUCUAGGUUCUC
Molecule: unclassified non-coding RNA, 284 nt
Filed under: fungal sp.
Lineage: Eukaryota; Fungi
Description: partial internal transcribed spacer region
Rfam family: Eukaryotic small subunit ribosomal RNA (bases 1-46)
Source: RNAcentral